GAUGAACGCUGGCGGCGUGCCUAAUACAUGCAAGUCGAGCGAAUGGAUUAAGAGCUUGCUCUUAUGAAGUUAGCGGCGGACGGGUGAGUAACACGUGAGUAACCUGCCCAUAAGACUGGGAUAACUCCGGGAAACCGGGGCUAAUACCGGAUAACAUUUUGAACCGCAUGGUUCGAAAUUGAAAGGCGGCUUCGGCUGUCACUUAUGGAUGGACCCGCGUCGCAUUAGCCAGUUGGUGAGGUAACGGCUCACCAAGGCAACGAUGCGUAGCCGACCUGGGAGGGUGAUCGGCCACACUGGGACUGAGACACGGCCCAGACUCCUACGGGAGGCAGCAGUAGGGAAUCUUCCGCAAUGGACGAAAGUCUGACGGAGCAACGCCGCGUGAGUGAUGAAGGCUUUCGGGUCGUAAAACUCUGUUGUUAGGGAAGAACAAGUGCUAGUUGAAUAAGCUGGCACCUUGACGGUACCUAACCAGAAAGCCACGGCUAACUACGUGCCAGCAGCCGCGGUAA
This 515-nucleotide ribosomal RNA is filed under the name uncultured bacterium. RNAcentral describes it as "partial 16S ribosomal RNA". It matches the Rfam family "Bacterial small subunit ribosomal RNA", at positions 28 to 523 of the family's 1533-position model. The record is from RNAcentral.